Molecule: ribosomal RNA, 566 nt
Filed under: uncultured bacterium
Lineage: Bacteria
Description: bacterial SSU rRNA
Rfam family: Bacterial small subunit ribosomal RNA
Source: RNAcentral
CCUACGGGAGGCAGCAGUGGGGAAUAUUGGGCAAUGGGCGCAAGCCUGACCCAGCGACGCCGCGUGAGGGAUGAAGGUCUUCGGAUUGUAAACCUCUUUCAGUGGGGAAGAAGCGAAAGUGACGGUACCCAAAGAAGAAGCACCGGCUAACUAUGUGCCAGCAGCCGCGGUAAUACAUAGGGUGCAAGCGUUGUCCGGAAUUAUUGGGCGUAAAGAGCUUGUAGGUCGUUCAUCACGUCGGAUGUGAAAAUCUGAGGCUCAACCUCAGACCUGCAUUCGAUACGAGCGAACUAGAGUUUGGUAGGGGAGACUGGAAUUCCUGGUGUAGCGGUGGAAUGCGCAGAUAUCAGGAGGAACAUCAAUGGCGAAGGCAGGUCUCUGGGCCAAUACUGACACUGAGGAGCGAAAGCGUGGGGAGCGAACAGGAUUAGAUACCCUGGUAGUCCACGCCGUAAACGGUGGGCACUAGUUGCGGGGACCUUCCACGGUUUCCGCGACGCAGCUAACGCAUUAAGUGCCCCGCCUGGGGAGUACGAUCGCAAGAUUAAAACUCAAAGAAUAGACGA